This 511-nucleotide ribosomal RNA is filed under the name uncultured bacterium. Its description in RNAcentral is "partial 16S ribosomal RNA". It matches the Rfam family "Bacterial small subunit ribosomal RNA", at positions 28 to 507 of the family's 1533-position model. The record is from RNAcentral.
GACGAACGCUGGCGGCGUGCCUAAUACAUGCAAGUCGAGCGAGCGGACCUAACAGAUUUACUUCGGUAAUGACGUUAGGAAAGCGAGCGGCGGAUGGGUGAGUAACACGUGGGGAACCUGCCCCAUAGUCUGGGAUACCACUUGGAAACAGGUGCUAAUACCGGAUAAGAAAGCAGAUCGCAUGAUCAGCUUUUAAAAGGCGGCGUAAGCUGUCGCUAUGGGAUGGCCCCGCGGUGCAUUAGCUAGUUGGUAAGGUAAAGGCUUACCAAGGCGAUGAUGCAUAGCCGAGUUGAGAGACUGAUCGGCCACAUUGGGACUGAGUCACGGCCCAAACUCCUACGGGGGCAGCAGUAGGGAAUCUUCCACAAUGGACGCAAGUCUGAUGGAGCAACGCCGCGUGAGUGAAGAAGGUUUUCGGAUCGUAAAGCUCUGUUGUUGGUGAAGAAGGAUAGAGGUAGUAACUGGCCUUUAUUUGACGGUAAUCAACCAGAAAGUCACGGCUAACUACGUG